RNAcentral lists this unclassified non-coding RNA (2818 nucleotides) under Leishmania donovani. RNAcentral's name for it is "gene:LdHU3.29.2400(CDS-product:hypothetical_prote in_conserved)". Lineage: Eukaryota; Euglenozoa; Kinetoplastea; Trypanosomatida; Trypanosomatidae. The record is from RNAcentral.
GAUACGUUACGCGGCGCUGCCAUAAACCCGGUAGCAGGGGGGGGAACAUAAACAUGGUUGGUCGGCGCGCCGGUGCCGGCGGGCGUGGUGCUGCUGCCUCGGUCGCUAAACGCCCUGCUGCCCGCUGCGGCAAAGUCAGUGGACGGCCCACCUCCGCUGCUACCGGCGCCCCCAGCGAGUCGCUCUCAGCGCUUGUACAAGGCGAACGCAGCCAUCGCCGCGACGCCGCCUCUCCGGGAGGAAGUGCCGAUGAGGAGGUGACGCUUGUUUACCGUAAGCCACGCACACGGCACACAAAGCAGUCGACCAGCGCCGAUGAGCCCGCGCAAGCGACUGUCCCAGACAGCUGUGCUGAAGCAGCAUUAGACACGUCCGCGGCUGCCUCUGCUGCCGCUGUUUGUACGCCAGAGAUGGAGGUGCUUGCGUUCUGGCAGCGUGCGUGCGACGAUGUCAACCGCACCCGCGCGCUUUCCAACUGCGGCGUGGCGGACGUGUCGCUGCACUGUGUAGACAGCACCGGGGCCUAUUCGCUGUCCCAGGAGCAGCUCUUCUGCUGCAGUGGGGACCGUAUGGAAACGGCCAGGCGUGCUCUGCACAGCUUGAACGAUCUCCUCUACACCCCUGUCGACACAAGUGCGGCGGCCGGCGCGCCCUGCGCCGGCUACCCUUGUUGGGUGCGACCGGAGCAGUACGCAACGGUGGUGGCACUUGCACGUGUUUGCGAAGCCGCCGUGCCGGUGCACCUUCCGCCGAUGCUGCGCCUGUCUAGCUGCUCAGCCACCGUGUGCCAGCAGAGUUGUAUGAACUUGAACGGAAAAGAGACCACCCCUAUUCGCAGAUCGCCUCUAUUAUGGACCCUCCCUAUCGCCGUUGCCGGUGCCUUGGCCAGACAUGGUUCGGCCGCCCUGUCAGGUGCUAUCGCCUGCGCGCCCGGGACCACCCGGGCCCAAGGAGCCGCAGUGGCAGCACAGGGCAUUGGUGAGCCCACGAUUGACCUGGUUCCCUCGCCAGUGUUACUCGCCGAUGUGCACAAGCGUCUGGGGUAUCUUCGUCGAUUCCAUCAACUGCAAGUUGCGUAUGGCGAGCUUAUCCCAGCGUUCCGCGCGGCGUCGACUUUUACAGAGCUGCGACAAGUCUUCUUCACGCACGACGCGGCAGCGUGCCAGGUGCUAGGCCGCAUGUACCAAGCUUGGAAGGACGGGCCCUACCACGAAGCGCUCGCGGCGGAUCACUCAGGAUACGAGCACCGUCCACCCCAGAACAACGCCGAGGUGAAGGAAGUGCUGUCUUGCUUCCUCGGCAACCCGCUCGUCUUGGACACGCUGCUCCCGUUUGUCGGGAUCACGGCCCGCUACCCGCAGGAGGAGGCGCUCUUGCAAAACUUUGUCGCGGCCCUGAAGGACAUGACAGCUGUGGAGACGGCAUCAUGGGGCCCUGUCGCGGCUAUGGCGUCGUGGCGGUGCACCGACGGCCUUUACGUGGUACACCACGCCUCGCGCGUGCACGUAUUGCGGAGGCUUCUGAAUGAGGCGCAGCUUUACGGACUGCCUCUCUUUUUGCGGUCUAUUCGUGCGAUGGCGGGUAGCCACGCCAGCAGCGGUUUCGCGUCGACGGCGAGGGGGGAGGGUGGCAUCGCGCGGUUGCGCUGCAACGAGCGCAGAGCCUCUACGCAGAUCAGUUCUUCCUCACCCCUGACGCCCUUGACCCGGAUCUCUUCUCCCAACCGGACCCGAUGCAGGCGCAGCUGGUGCAGGAGGAGCUCGUCGCGCUCCAGCGCACGCACUGCGCCUUCUGCCUUGUUGUCGGGGAGGCAGACGAGGUGCUAACGCUCGUGCAACGGCACAUGCGGCACGUCGGCGGCGUUUGGCAGCACUGGGUCAAGAAAGAAGAGGAAGAGCCGAUGCCGGGGGUAAAGGCGGAGCCGCUGGAUGCCCGGGAUCCAACCGACGCGGAUGCGGUGGCGACCGAGCUCAGUAGCGAGGAUGCGGACAAAAGUGGCACCGCGAGCGCCGACGCACCCGGGGUGCCUGCCCUGCUUCGUCCUUGUGCCCCUACGGACCCGCUACGCCGCUACGUCAUCCGCACCGUGGACGCCGCGCGGCGGCAUCAGCGGCACAAAGCGUCGUCUGCUGCCCCUACCGCUGCGACGCCCCUACCCUUCAGCCACGUGCAGUGGAUCGAGCACGGCAGUACUAAUCGUUGGUCGCCGAACGCGAACUACUACGGUCUUGCGUAUAUGGUGGUGCUGGAUACGGAGGAGGAGUGGGCAACGGAGAAUGGCGGCACGCUCGCGACUGAAGGACUGCUGCCGGAGACGGCCAUUGUGAUGAAUGCCGAGAGCAAUACCGCCGCGCUGCGCGAGGCGCAGGCGCCGGCGUACUGCGUGAAUGCAAUCCUCGAGCUGUGGCGUACCUAGGCGAAGGAACGAGUGGCCUUGGAGAGACGGACGCACCGGUGCGUCUGUGAGCGCGCGUCUCCCUUCUGCACCUUUUGACUUGCACACACGCAGACGCGCACACACAGAGACGAGCAUCCAGACACGCCACCGCGUGUUCUUUCAAUCAAACCCACCCCCUCAUCUCCCCUCCACCCUGCUCAUGUUCUCUUCACUAGAGAGUUGUGCAGGGUGUAGAAAGCGACCAGCGAAGCGCCUAUUCUCCUUGGCCGCAUUCACACCUACACGCAUAGAAACGCACGUACCCACAUCCAGACACACACAUAGAAUGGGAAGAAGAGAGCGAAGGGAACAGGGAGAAAAGUACAACACGCCAAACCUCAACAGGCCAAGCGGAAACUGAAGGAUGUGUAGCGCACGCUU